This is a non-coding RNA of Cinara cedri, 237 nucleotides long. Lineage: Eukaryota; Metazoa; Arthropoda; Insecta; Hemiptera; Aphididae. The record is from the annotation of a GenBank genome assembly.
UUACGACACCGUAUCGCGCCGUUUUGUUGUAACGGAAACCGGCCGGGGACGCGUUAUCGAAAGAAAUGUACCGAGUACUGUUACUCGGUGUCGAAUCGAAUUGAAAUGCCGAUACGAGUAAAAUGUCGAAACAAAAGCACCGAUACGAGAGUAAGUACAUGAAAUAUUAUUGGACUCGUGCUUUUAUUGCGAUUGUCAGUGUUGGGUGUAAGUAUCUCACGAAUCCGCACACUCGGC